CCUACGGGUGGCAGCAGUGGGGAAUAUUGGGCAAUGGGCGCAAGCCUGAUCCAGCAACGCCGCGUGAAGGAAGAAGGCUUUCGGGUUGUAAACUUCUUUCGUCAGGGAAGAGUAGAAGACGGUACCUGACGAAUAAGCCACGGCUAACUACGUGCCAGCAGCCGCGGUAAUACGUAGGUGGCAAGCGUUGUCCGGAUUUACUGGGUGUAAAGGGCGGGUAGCCGGGUUGACAAGUCAGAUGUGAAAUCCUGCGGCUUAACCGCAGAACUGCAUUUGAAACUGCUGAUCUUGAGUACUGGAGAGGCAGACGGAAUUCCGAGUGUAGCGGUGAAAUGCGUAGAUAUUAGGAGGAACACCAGUGGCGAAGGCGGUCUGCUGGACAGCAACUGACGGUGAGGCGCGAAAGCGUGGGGAGCAAACAGGAUUAGAUACCCGGGUAGUC
RNAcentral lists this ribosomal RNA (442 nucleotides) under uncultured bacterium. Its description in RNAcentral is "partial 16S ribosomal RNA". It matches the Rfam family "Bacterial small subunit ribosomal RNA", at positions 338 to 795 of the family's 1533-position model. The record is from RNAcentral.